This 552-nucleotide ribosomal RNA is filed under the name Alternaria alternata. RNAcentral describes it as "eukaryotic LSU rRNA". The stretch from base 189 to 342 matches the Rfam family "5.8S ribosomal RNA". Lineage: Eukaryota; Fungi; Ascomycota; Dothideomycetes; Pleosporales; Pleosporaceae. The record is from RNAcentral.
UAGCUGACUGCGGAGGGACAUUACACAAAUAUGAAGGCGGGCUGGAACCUCUCGGGGUUACAGCCUUGCUGAAUUAUUCACCCUUGUCUUUUGCGUACUUCUUGUUUCCUUGGUGGGUUCGCCCACCACUAGGACAAACAUAAACCUUUUGUAAUUGCAAUCAGCGUCAGUAACAAAUUAAUAAUUACAACUUUCAACAACGGAUCUCUUGGUUCUGGCAUCGAUGAAGAACGCAGCGAAAUGCGAUAAGUAGUGUGAAUUGCAGAAUUCAGUGAAUCAUCGAAUCUUUGAACGCACAUUGCGCCCUUUGGUAUUCCAAAGGGCAUGCCUGUUCGAGCGUCAUUUGUACCCUCAAGCUUUGCUUGGUGUUGGGCGUCUUGUCUCUAGCUUUGCUGGAGACUCGCCUUAAAGUAAUUGGCAGCCGGCCUACUGGUUUCGGAGCGCAGCACAAGUCGCACUCUCUAUCAGCAAAGGUCUAGCAUCCAUUAAGCCUUUUUUUCAACUUUUGACCUCGGAUCAGGUAGGGAUACCCGCUGAACUUAAGCAUAUAAA